AACGAACGCUGGCGGCAGGCUUAACACAUGCAAGUCGAACGCCCCGCAAGGGGAGUGGCAGACGGGUGAGUAACACGUGGGAACAUACCCUUCGGUUCGGAACAACGCCGGGAAACUGGCGCUAAUACCGGAUACGCCCUUUUGGGGAAAGGCUUGCUGCCGAAGGAUUGGCCCGCGUUCGAUUAGCUUGUUGGUGAGGUAACGGCUCACCAAGGCGACGAUCGAUAGCUGGUCUGAGAGGAUGGCCAGCCACAUUGGGACUGAGACACGGCCCAAACUCCUACGGGAGGCAGCAGUGGGGAAUAUUGGACAAUGGGCGCAAGCCUGAUCCAGCCAUGCCGCGUGAGUGAUGACGGCCUUAGGGUUGUAAAGCUCUUUCGCACGCGACGAUAAUGACGGUAGCGUGAGAAGAAGCCCCGGCUAACUUCGUGCCAGCAGCCGCGGUAAUACGAAGGGGGCUAGCGUUGUUCGGAAUCACUGGGCGUAAAGGGUGCGUAGGCGGAUUCUUAAGUCAGGGGUGAAAUCCCGAGGCUCAACCUCGGAACUGCCUUUGAUACUGGGGAUCUUGAGUCCGGAAGAGGUGAGUGGAACUGCGAGUGUAGAGGUGAAAUUCGUAGAUAUUCGCAAGAACACCAGUGGCGAAGGCGGCUCACUGGUCCGGAACUGACGCUGAGGCACGACAGCGUGGGGAGCAAACAGGAUUAGAUACCCUGGUAGUCCAC
This 722-nucleotide ribosomal RNA is filed under the name uncultured bacterium. RNAcentral describes it as "bacterial SSU rRNA". It matches the Rfam family "Bacterial small subunit ribosomal RNA", at positions 28 to 798 of the family's 1533-position model. The record is from RNAcentral.